Astatotilapia calliptera (eastern happy) is the source of this 1774-nucleotide long non-coding RNA. The record is from Ensembl. NCBI's taxonomy places the organism in Eukaryota, Metazoa, Chordata, Actinopteri, Cichliformes, Cichlidae.
AAAUGAAGCAAGCCCCGUUACGCGCAUCGCGGAAACGCUUCCUCCAUUACUCGACGCAGAACGUCACAUCACUAGUAAAUAUCAUAAAAGAUACUAACAAAGAACAAAGCGUAAAAGGAGAGCAAUAACAAGAGUGAAAGUAAACCUGUAAUGUGGAGGAAACGGACAGUGAGCGCAGUGUAACCGUGACAACGAGACACGAGGACGGAUUUAAAGUGAUCAUAAAAUCGUCUCCAGACGGUCGUCGUUCGUCCAGUAGGCGGGAUUAAUGCACCUGUAAGCUGAUUUGUCAAACGCCAUCAGGUCCCGAAGAAGAACGGAGGAGGACAGCACUACUGUGGUAGAGGAGCAGUGUGUGUGCAGACAUAGCUGCUGUUGAUGAAGCGAACUGAACUUGGAGGAGAGACACAAACUGAAGUAUCAAUCCCGUCACAUCAGUGUUGAUCUGAUACCAACGUCUGUAUCGCUUUUAUUGAUGCUUGUAUCGAUCCGCUCAGCCCCAGUUGAAGCAGCAAUGAGUUCAGUUCAGUAUCUGAGAGAGUUCAUCAAGAAGAGAUUAACUGCUGUUUGUGAAGAAAUCUUCUCAGAGGUUCAAAAAACCAUCGUCCAGUAUGAGGAGGAGAUCAACCAUCAGCACAGACUGCCGGAUAUCAGCCGGAAACCCGACAGAAACUCACACAUCAUAGACCUCCCACAACAAUAUGACUGUGAGGAAGAGGAGGGUCUGGAUGAGCAGCAGGUCUGUAACCAGGAGAGGAACUCCAGUCUGGACCAGGAGGACCCAGAGCCUCCACAGAUUAAAGAGGAACAAGAGGAGCUCUGCAGCAGUCAGGAGGGAGAGCAGCUUGGACUGAAGAAGGAGGCUGAAGGCAUUAUCGUCUGGACUGAUGAAGAGCAGCUCAGACUGCUGGAGACCAUCUGUAAACCUGAGAUAAAGUUACACAGAAUAGGUAUGUAAAACUGUGAUGUUUUAAUAACAGUGAAUAUGACUCAUGGGUGUCACAGUGGAACAGUGGCUAGCGCUGUUGGCCCACAGCAACAAGGUCCUGAGUUUGACUCCAUCAUGUGGCCGGGCCUUUCUGUGUGGAGUUUGCAUGUUCUCCCCUUGUUCACUCUCCAGAGACAUGCAGACAGCUGGGUUAGGUUAGUUGGUUGCAUUUAUUUUCAGAGUCACAGGAAGAAUUGAAAGUCCAAAAGUAAAAAGCAGCAUGAUUUAAUCUCUUUGGCAUAAUUUUCUGUUUUCAUUUACAUAAAUGCAUUUCCACCAUUAAUUCAUGCAAAAAGGUGAAAAAUUAGUGCAUAAGAAUUCAGCAGAAUGAAAGAUGUGAAACAUCUGAGUUUCAAAUUUCCACCCACUGCUCAGACAAAAUCUGCACAGAGACACAAAGCCAACAACACAAGUUUCAUUUUGUUGUGUUAUCAGUUUAAGAAUUACAUGUUUCCUCUGCAGCAUGGAAAUGGUGAGUUUUGAACAGUUUACAGGUCUGAGUAAGUAUGAAUAAAUAUUUCUAUUCUGUUUUGGAAAAUAUGAAUUCAGAGUUUCUAAACUGAAAUUUAUCAGACAAAGAGAGUUUUCAUGGCAUUUCAGGCACAGCCAAAACACUGGUGCAAGAGAGCUCUGCCCCAGCAUGCCAUCUUAUAACUAUAGCCAAUCCAGACAUCCACAUUCAUUUAACAAAAAACAUUUAGUUAUUUCUAGGGCUGCCAUGAUUAGUCUACCAUCAAAAUCGUCCACCACUAAUUUAAUAGUCAACUUGUCAUGGGAAGUUUUGUA